Molecule: non-coding RNA, 172 nt
Filed under: uncultured Prevotella sp.
Lineage: Bacteria; Pseudomonadati; Bacteroidota; Bacteroidia; Bacteroidales; Prevotellaceae
Source: RNAcentral
UGGUUCACUUACGUGAUAAAAAGGGAAUCAGGUGCGAAUCCUGGACAGUCCCGCUGCUGUAAACUUGAUUAUGGAAAGACCUUAAGAGCCACUGGAGCACCAUCAUGAUUCAUAAACGGUGCCUGGGAAGGCGGUCUCUCUCAAGUGAAGUCAGAAGACCUGCCACUGCAGU